UCGGCCUCCCAAAGUGCUGGGAUGACAGGCUUGAGCCACCGCGCCCGGCCUUAAAAAUUAUUUUACUUUGUUCUUGACUCUUUAGUUUCAGAAGCAGAUUAAGGAAAAGCUUAUUAGGAAGUCUAGAGCCAUAGGCACUGUAGAAAUUACCAGCCCCCAAAAGUCAAUAUCCAAUUACUGUACCUUUUUGGCUGUUCCACGUAAUUAACCAUGCUGCUUGAUCCAAGUGAAGCCAGGGGGAAAGCCGGGCACUGUUAGAUGGUGUAGCUCCUUGCUUAACCCCUCAUGUUGUAGUGCAAAGAUGAGUGCCCACUUACCUGGAUCUCUCAGGCGAUGACAUUUUCCAAAAGAUUUUCUUCUGGUCCCUCUUGAGAACAAUAUAAAGAGUAUGUAAUUCAGAGAGAGAUUACUUUGAAUUUGACUAAAAGAGAAGUACAAAGGCUUUGUUUUUUCAGAUCCUAUCAAAUUAAUACUGUCACAUUUGGAAAAUGUUGCUGUGUUUUAAUAGAUCUCUUAGAAGCAUGUCUCUUAUGCAAAUAGUAAUUGUGGUUUUUAAAGCUAAUAUAAAUGGGAUUCAUUUACUUAAAAUCAAGCCACCUUGUAGCUGUGAGUAGUUUUCCCAUUUUGUUGAAGGUAAGUACAAUUUUUAAUUAGCUACAUUUGGUUGCAGGAGAGGUUAAAGAAUAGAUUUAAGUAGGCAUGUCCAAAAAGGACAGAAAGUCCCGCAAAGCAAUUGUCAGCAGGGAUUAGAUCUCUGGAUGUCCUUGUUUGUCAGGAAAAGCCUUCCGUGUAUCCAGUAGCUUCUGAAAAUGUUAAUGUGGCACUGUGCAGGGAGUCAAGGGAACAAUCUUCUCAUUUUCAGUACAGGAUGCUAGGGAAAGCCUGUCGCUACGUGUGCGUGGGUGUGUGAGUGAGGGCUGGCUGUGCACUCUACCUCUCUGGCUGAAGUAAGUUGCAGUGCAGCUUUGCCUUUUCAUGGGCUUGGGUGUGGGGAAUCCCUCCUACCAAGAGUAUUUUGGGAAAUUCCUAAAUGCUGAUGUGUUCUCAGCUCUAUAUAAUGCCCUUGUUGGAGUGAGUAGCAAAACGCACAUGGAGAAUGAUUUUAAAGCACCAGUCAACCAAUUCCUGCAUUGAAGUCCCAACACCAGCAUUUUGGUCUAGGUCUAGUAUCUGUCUUUCAUGUUGCAAAAUUCACCAAAGAAGAUGGGGGAAAAGACAUUCCCUGAAUCUGUACCCAUGAAUGUUGGAAUUUGCUAUAGAAAGAGAAGAGAAAUAAUUCUCAGGUAAUUCCAGUGCCUUCCCUCUUCCUUCUUCCACCCCCAGUUAGGGGUUGGGGGAGAAGCUACAUGAAUGUUGUAUGUAUUUUGUAACUCCCAGAAGCCUAAACAAACAUCUAGAGAUUUUGAAUGGAAUGAAAUGUAAGGUGAAUCAUAUACACUCCUCUUAGAAAUUGUGGUAUUAAAAAAAAGACUGCAACAUGAUUCUGAUGUAUUUUAUUUUUGAAUUCUAUUGUAGAUGAAUGGAGAUGAUGAUAUAAAAAGUAUGAUAUAAAAGUUGAAGUGUACAUCUCUUAUUAAAUAUCUGAUUGCUUGAUUAAAUAACUCUGGAUAUUCCUGGGAUUCCCUGGUAUUUAUUUAUAGCUCUGUAUCUAGGGAAGGCUGGUGCUACAUAAUAAAAGCUACUAGGUGUGCUUUAUGCCACUAUGCUCAGAAAGCUUUGAUUGCAGAAGUUCUUUUGUGAAUAACACCACUUCAGUUGAAAUAUAAUCUCCUAGGAUCUCAAAUCCAGUAUUUAUUUUAAAUCAUAAUAGUGCUUUUCAUUUUUGUUACAGAGAACUAAGAAACAAAGAAACAUAUUGUGGUCUGACAAAGAUAGAUCAGAUAUUUUGGAAGCAUUUUAAAAUCUUGAAAGCCUUGCUCUAUUCGUACAUAAUUAGUGGAUAUUCUUCAGAGUGAUUGUUUCUCCCCAGAAGAAAUAGUGUUCAUAUUCUAUAUUCUUGAUAGUCUUAGAAGUUGGGGAGGGGGGUGGCAAACAUACUAAAAUUUAAAGUGAAAUCAUCUUCUCAUUGUUAAGAGGUAACAAGUGGUGGCACAUUUUACCUUUGUUGCCCUGCCUUGUUCCCAACAGUUUCAAAUUAAUGGUGAGUAUUAUAUCAUUUUAGAUCCUUUAAAUUAUGGAAUGACUAUAGUGUCUUAAAAUCACAUGUAUGAAGCUCAGCUGCUGGCUGGCUCUCUCUUACCAUAGUUAAAAAGUUGUGCAAAAUGAACUGAAUUUUAAUGUCAUGUAUAGACUGUAAACCGUAACCAUUAGUAUUCAUUAUUUCACUUCUUUUUGAUUUUCACUCUCUUCACAACCUCCCUACCUAUACCCCAGUUCGGGGGAAGAAUGUCAGUGUUUUUUAUGCUAGUCCUUGGAUGAAUUAUCUUCAGAGAAUGUUUCUCUUUUUAAGAAACAGUGCGGAAAAGGCUAUGCCUUUUCUUUCUCUUUCUUUGAGGUUUUAUCUUAGUUAUAUUGCUUGUUUAGAUAUAGGAUAAGUUAUUUUUAUUUUUAUUUCCAGGAAGCCUUUCAGCCCAAUGUGCUUUCCCAUAGUUAUUGAAAUGCCACAAAUCACCGGUGCAACUAAUCUGAAUAAUUAGUAACUGAGUACAGGUAUACUGGUUGUAAAAUUAUCUCUACAUCUUUAUGUAAGAAUAGUAAUUACAUGAAUUUACUUUUAAUUUUUUUCCCUGCUGAACAUGUUUUCUUUUAUGUAGGAAAUUCUUUCUAAAUGCCAAACUAAAAA
Molecule: long non-coding RNA, 2782 nt
Organism: Cercocebus atys (sooty mangabey)
Lineage: Eukaryota; Metazoa; Chordata; Mammalia; Primates; Cercopithecidae
Exons: 2
Source: RefSeq, a predicted model, not a curated record